AUUGAACGCUGGCGGCAGGCCUAACACAUGCAAGUCGAACGGUAACAGGAAGCAGCUUGCUGCUUUGCUGACGAGUGGCGGACGGGUGAGUAAUGUCUGGGAAACUGCCUGAUGGAGGGGGAUAACUACUGGAAACGGUAGCUAAUACCGCAUAACGUCGCAAGACCAAAGAGGGGGACCUUCGGGCCUCUUGCCAUCGGAUGUGCCCAGAUGGGAUUAGCUAGUAGGUGGGGUAACGGCUCACCUAGGCGACGAUCCCUAGCUGGUCUGAGAGGAUGACCAGCCACACUGGAACUGAGACACGGUCCAGACUCCUACGGGAGGCAGCAGUGGGGAAUAUUGCACAAUGGGCGCAAGCCUGAUGCAGCCAUGCCGCGUGUAUGAAGAAGGCCUUCGGGUUGUAAAGUACUUUCAGCGGGGAGGAAGGGAGUAAAGUUAAUACCUUUGCUCAUGGACGUUACCCGCAGAAGAAGCACCGGCUAACUCCGU
RNAcentral lists this ribosomal RNA (489 nucleotides) under uncultured bacterium. Its description in RNAcentral is "partial 16S ribosomal RNA". It matches the Rfam family "Bacterial small subunit ribosomal RNA", at positions 30 to 506 of the family's 1533-position model. The record is from RNAcentral.